GGGGCCGUGGCGCACACCUUCCCUAGUCACUGGCGCUCGUCCUCGUGACAAAAGAAAACUUCAGGCUCGGUUUUCCAGCUCGCAAACAGUUAAGUGACUUCCUGCAAACGCUAGAGUCCCAGCAACCAGCCUUCCAAUCAAAAGUAAGUUGGCUGAUGUCACUGACAUGGGCCCAGCCAAUCAGAAGGGCGUUCCGAAAGCUAGCGCUCCACACUUGUGAACGCGGGAGCCGUAGUGGAAGUGGACAACAUCCCUGUUAUUUUGUGCUGCUGGUAGUAAAAGUGUGAUAUGUAUGGGAAGGCAGGGGUGACGAAUAAAUGCAAUGUGAAUCAAUAUAUUUUUUUAAAUCUAAGUAUGUCAGGACAAGUUGCCCAAGAAGAAACACAAAUGAGAAAGGAUCAUUUCUUUUUUUUCUUUUCUUUCUUUUUUUUUUUUCAGUUUUGGGAUGCAGCAUACUUUUGGGCAGAUUUUUUAAUAAUCCUUCUAUUCAGUGCAUUAAUGAUGACUAAUUCAUUUUUAAAAUGCUGAGCUGACAAAAGUUCCGUUUAAACCAGUCUUUUUCCGUCUCACUACUCUUACACUGAAACACCCCCAACUUUGCUUUUGUGAUACCUACCAUUCCUCUCCUUCCCUAGCGCAAUUUAUUCUAGGUGAGCUAUUUUGGUUUGUUUUGAAGCUACUGUAACCCACCUUCAAUUAAAUGGAGACCAAAACAAAACAAAAAAAUCCUUCAUUUGUAUAAUUUUUAAAAACAUCAUUCUUAGCUCAUUUUCUUUCCUCAGACCCCUGAACGGUUUUCGGGGCUUCUCUCUCUUCCCUCACUUUACAAAUGUGGAGACGGAAACACAGAGAAGUGACCUGUCUACCUUAUCAGGUAGAUAGUGACAGAGCUCAACUGAAACAAUAAAUCUAAUGAUUCCAAGCCCUUUGGGCUUUCCAACAUCUGAGCUCUUCGAUUUUGUGAAAUAUUAACUGUGCUAAACAGAUUCUUAAGAACUGGAACAAGCCAGAGAUCCUUAGCCAUUGAAAACUGUGGCAUUACUUAAUCAAUGAUUAGCAUGGGUCUUGGAGUCUCAUUAACUCAGUUUGCCUCUCCCUCUGAAUGGUUGACAGUUGUUUUCCAUCUUGAUAGCUGAGAAAAGAAUCUAGGACUCAUGGCUCUUCAGGAGGCUCGCCAUCAGCACAACUGGUUAAAAAUACAUUGAUUGUCCUCACUGGGUGUGAAAGGUGCCUGCCUCUCUGUGAUGCAGAUCCACUGAAGUCCAACCUUGGCCCCACUGUCUGGUAGCCUUGGUGAAGGGUUGGGAAAAACUAACACCAGUUUUGUGGUCUCUAAAGGCAGAGUCCCAAAUUAACCCUCCCAGCUUGAAGGCCAGUGUAGUUUACUUUGACUUUGCUUUUGAAGCGGUACAGGAAGAUAUUGGUUGACUAUAUGGAAAAGGAAGUAUGGAAAGGGGGUGGCGGUCAACCAAGACUAUCAUCAUCACCAUCUUGGUAAAGUAGGUGCAUCAUGGUGUGUAAAAGUGAAGCCGUCUUCGAGUUCUUGAAUUCCAAUUCCCUUAAUUUUAGAAAAGAAUUCACUGAAGCACAGGGGAGUUUGCCUACUUCAUAAUUUUUCUGGGACAAACUCUGUCCCCAAGGAUACAUGAUCAUUUAGUAAUUGCACCUUUGCUUGCUUCUUUAAGGUCCGGCACAAAUACCAGUGGGAUCUCUCCACAGUCUCCAUGAUGACUGCCUGUACAGUGUCUUGGAUUUGCAUGAACUGACAUUGCACUGGGCACCUUCAGAUAGCCCUAGAGUUAACACUGGGAUUAUUCUAGAUAUGAAGGAAAACCUGCAUCUUUCCUUGGACAUUGUAAUCAAGGAACUUGAAUGAAUCAACCAUCAUAGUUUUUUUUUAAAAAUACAAACUUUCCCCUCCCUUACUUCUGGUCUUCUUCUCUUUAAUUAAUUAUCUUUAAUUUAAUUUUGUUUGGACUGGACAUAACCCCUGAAUUCUUCCAACUCAGUCAUUUCAGAGUUAUAAAAGAAAGUAAUGAAAGAAAAUCGAGAUUUCGCACACAUGA
Molecule: long non-coding RNA, 2066 nt
Filed under: Lynx pardinus (Iberian lynx)
Lineage: Eukaryota; Metazoa; Chordata; Mammalia; Carnivora; Felidae
Source: RNAcentral